Molecule: ribosomal RNA, 527 nt
Filed under: uncultured cyanobacterium
Lineage: Bacteria; Bacillati; Cyanobacteriota
Description: bacterial SSU rRNA
Rfam family: Bacterial small subunit ribosomal RNA
Source: RNAcentral
UGGGGAAUUUUCCGCAAUGGGCGAAAGCCUGACGGAGCAACGCCGCGUGAGGGAUGAAGGCCUCUGGGCUGUAAACCUCUUUUAUCAAGGAAGAAGAUCUGACGGUACUUGAUGAAUAAGCCACGGCUAAUUCCGUGCCAGCAGCCGCGGUAAUACGGGAGUGGCAAGCGUUAUCCGGAAUUAUUGGGCGUAAAGCGUCCGCAGGCGGCCCUUCAAGUCUGCUGUUAAAAAGUGGAGCUUAACUCCAUCAUGGCAGUGGAAACUGAGGGGCUUGAGUGUGGUAGGGGCAGAGGGAAUUCCCGGUGUAGCGGUGAAAUGCGUAGAUAUCGGGAAGAACACCAGUGGCGAAGGCGCUCUGCUGGGCCAUCACUGACGCUCAUGGACGAAAGCCAGGGGAGCGAAAGGGAUUAGAUACCCCUGUAGUCCUGGCCGUAAACGAUGAACACUAGGUGUCGGGGGAAUCGACCCCUUCGGUGUCGUAGCCAACGCGUUAAGUGUUCCGCCUGGGGAGUACGCACGCAAGUGUG